GGGUAAGUCUUUCACGACCAGCUCCUGUCAAAUCCCCCAGGCCGGGAACGGAGCAAGGGUAGACGGUUGUAGCGGUGCGAUGGAAGUAGCUUACCCAU
RNAcentral lists this signal recognition particle RNA (98 nucleotides) under Bacteroidota bacterium. Its description in RNAcentral is "Bacteroidetes bacterium (activated sludge metagenome) signal recognition particle sRNA small type". It matches the Rfam family "Bacteroidales small SRP". From Rfam's summary of the family: The non-coding component of the signal recognition particle in Bacteroides RNAcentral also lists the same sequence under 1 other name. Lineage: Bacteria; Pseudomonadati; Bacteroidota. The record is from RNAcentral.